AUUGAACGCUGGCGGCAUGCCUUACACAUGCAAGUCGAACGGCAGCACGGGAGCAAUCCUGGUGGCGAGUGGCGAACGGGUGAGUAAAGUAUCGGAACGUGCCCAGUCGUGGGGGAUAACGUAGCGAAAGUUACGCUAAUACCGCAUACGCUCUAUGGAUGAAAGCGGGGGAUCGCAAGACAUCGCGCGAUUGGAGCGGCCGAAAUCAGAUUAGGUAGUUGGUGGGGUAAAGGCUGACCAAGCCGACGAUGUGUAGCUGGUCUGAGAGGACGACCAGCCACACUGGGACUGAGACACGGCCCAGACUCCUACGGGAGGCAGCAGUGGGGAAUUUUGGACAAUGGGCGAAAGCCUGAUCCAGCCAUGCCGCGUGCAGGAUGAAGGCCUUCGGGUUGUAAACUGCUUUUGUACGGAACGAAAAGGUUUGGCCUAAUAAGCUGAGCUCAUGACGGUACCGUAAGAAUAAGCACCGGCUAACUACGUGCCAGCCGCCGCAGUAA
This 500-nucleotide ribosomal RNA is filed under the name uncultured bacterium. RNAcentral describes it as "partial 16S ribosomal RNA". It matches the Rfam family "Bacterial small subunit ribosomal RNA", at positions 30 to 523 of the family's 1533-position model. The record is from RNAcentral.